CAAAUGAACCACUCUAGGGUCGAGUCUCUACUAGCUUGCUGGUCUUGAUUCCUCUAGAGUAACAACUCACUGUGCACCGUAUUGUCUUUUGGGAGAUUGUGGAUAGGGUAACCAGUCCUGCUCCCAGCUUUAUCAACAUACCUAUUAAAUUAAUCUGAUUUUUUUCUAUACGAAAUAAAAA
This 181-nucleotide unclassified non-coding RNA is filed under the name uncultured fungus. Its description in RNAcentral is "sequence contains ITS1, 5.8S rRNA gene". The record is from RNAcentral. Lineage: Eukaryota; Fungi.